RNAcentral lists this ribosomal RNA (581 nucleotides) under uncultured bacterium. RNAcentral describes it as "bacterial SSU rRNA". It matches the Rfam family "Bacterial small subunit ribosomal RNA", at positions 337 to 917 of the family's 1533-position model. The record is from RNAcentral.
UCCUACGGGAGGCAGCAGUGGGGAAUAUUGCACAAUGGGCGCAAGCCUGAUGCAGCGACGCCGCGUGAGGGAUGACGGCCUUCGGGUUGUAAACCUCUUUCAGUAGGGAACAAGGCUGCACGUUGUGUGGUUGAGGGUACUUGCAGAAGAAGCGUCGGCUAACUACGUGCCAGCAGCCGCGGUAAUACGUAGGGCGCAAGCGUUAUCCGGAAUUAUUGGGCGUAAAGAGCUCGUAGGCGGUUUGUCGCGUCUGCCGUGAAAGUCCGGGGCUCAACCCCGGAUCUGCGGUGGGUACGGGCAGACUAGAGUGAUGUAGGGGAGGCUGGAAUUCCUGGUGUAGCGGUGAAAUGCGCAGAUAUCAGGAGGAACACCGAUGGCGAAGGCAGGUCUCUGGGCAUUAACUGACGCUGAGGAGCGAAAGCAUGGGGAGCGAACAGGAUUAGAUACCCUGGUAGUCCAUGCCGUAAACGUUGGGCACUAGGUGUGGGGGACAUUCCACGUUUUCCGCGCCGUAGCUAACGCAUUAAGUGCCCCGCCUGGGGAGUACGGCCGCAAGGCUAAAACUCAAAUGAAUUGACGGA